This 570-nucleotide ribosomal RNA is filed under the name bacterium RBM-D3. RNAcentral describes it as "bacterial SSU rRNA". It matches the Rfam family "Bacterial small subunit ribosomal RNA", at positions 86 to 691 of the family's 1533-position model. The record is from RNAcentral.
UCGGUGCUAGUGGCAGACGGGUGAGUAACACGUGGGAACGUACCUUUCGGUUCGGAAUAAUUCAGGGAAACUUGGACUAAUACCGGAUACGCCCUUCGGGGGAAAGAUUUAUCGCCGAUAGAUCGGCCCGCGUCUGAUUAGCUAGUUGGUGAGGUAAUGGCUCACCAAGGCGACGAUCAGUAGCUGGUCUGAGAGGAUGAUCAGCCACAUUGGGACUGAGACACGGCCCAAACUCCUACGGGAGGCAGCAGUGGGGAAUAUUGGACAAUGGGCGCAAGCCUGAUCCAGCCAUGCCGCGUGAGUGAUGAAGGCCUUAGGGUUGUAAAGCUCUUUUGUCCGGGAAGAUAAUGACUGUACCGGAAGAAUAAGCCCCGGCUAACUUCGUGCCAGCAGCCGCGGUAAUACGAAGGGGGCUAGCGUUGCUCGGAAUCACUGGGCGUAAAGGGCGCGUAGGCGGACUCUUAAGUCGGGGGUGAAAGCCCAGGGCUCAACCCUGGAAUUGCCUUCGAUACUGAGAGUCUUGAGUUCGGAAGAGGUUGGUGGAACUGCGAGUGUAGAGGUGAAAUUCGU